UCCAGAGUCUAGAAUACAGUUUGACUGUACAUACUUAACUGUAAGGGCAGUGGAAUUACAUGUGGAUGAGUAGUGGCCCUUAGCCAAAUUUGCACUAGAACCUGUAGCUGAGGCUCCUUCUAUGCUGCCCUAUAAAUUAGACUGACCAAGAAUGUGUAAAAUUUGGUUGUAAUGCUCAUGCAACACAUUCAUUCCUUUGUGAUACUCAAUAUGAUCAGAUUGCCUAGUUUCACUGCCAUAACUGUGAGCCCUUUGAUUCACAACUCUCAUAUAUUCAGGCUCAUUAUUAGACCUAGGUGAAUGAUCAGAUUCACUAACCACAUUGUGAGCAGCUGGAUGUGGUCUCUUAUCA
This 352-nucleotide long non-coding RNA is filed under the name Solanum tuberosum (potato). RNAcentral's name for it is "long non-coding RNA (STUB_LNC008109)". Lineage: Eukaryota; Viridiplantae; Streptophyta; Magnoliopsida; Solanales; Solanaceae. The record is from RNAcentral.